Daphnia pulex (common water flea) is the source of this 74-nucleotide non-coding RNA. The record is from Rfam. NCBI's taxonomy places the organism in Eukaryota, Metazoa, Arthropoda, Branchiopoda, Diplostraca, Daphniidae.
GGUCCUAUGGCUUAGAUGGCAGAGCGCCUGCCUAGUAAGCAGGGAAUCACGAGUUCCGAGUCUCGUUGGGACCU